UACGGGGGGGGGCAAGCGUUGUUCGGAAUUACUGGGCGUAAAGGGCUCGUAGGCGGCCAACUAAGUCAGACGUGAAAUCCCUCGGCUUAACCGGGGAACUGCGUCUGAUACUGGAUGGCUUGAGUGUGGGAGAGGAAUGCGGAAUUCCAGGUGUAGCGGUGAAAUGCGUAGAUAUCAGGAGGAACACCGAUGGCGAAGGCAGGUCUCUGGGCCACUACUGACGCUGAGAAGCGAAAGCAUGGGGGAGCGAACAGG
This 255-nucleotide ribosomal RNA is filed under the name uncultured bacterium. RNAcentral describes it as "partial 16S ribosomal RNA". It matches the Rfam family "Bacterial small subunit ribosomal RNA", at positions 524 to 776 of the family's 1533-position model. The record is from RNAcentral.